UACGGAAGGCAGCAGUGGGGAAUAUUGCACAAUGGGCGCAAGCCUGAUGCAGCCAUGCCGCGUGUAUGAAGAAGGGCCUUCGGGUUGUAAAGUACUUUCAGUCGUGAGGAAGGUGUUAAGGUUAAUAACCUUAGCAAUUGACGUUAGCGACAGAAGAAGCACCGGCUAACUCCGUGCCAGCAGCCGCGGUAAUACGGAGGGUGCGAGCGUUAAUCGGAAUUACUGGGCUAAAGGGCACGCAGGCGGUUAAUUAAGUUGGAUGUGAAAUCCCCGGGCUUAACCUGGGAAUGGCAUUCAAGACUGGUUAGCUAGAGUCUUGUAGAGGGGGUAGAAUUCCAUGUGUAGCGGUGAAAUGCGUAGAGAUGUGGAGGAAUACCGGUGGCGAAGGCGGCCCCUGGACAAAGGACUGACGCUCAUGUGCGAAAGCGUGGGGAGCAAACAGGAUUAGAUACC
This 453-nucleotide ribosomal RNA is filed under the name uncultured bacterium. RNAcentral describes it as "bacterial SSU rRNA". It matches the Rfam family "Bacterial small subunit ribosomal RNA", at positions 340 to 786 of the family's 1533-position model. The record is from RNAcentral.